UCUGCCACAAAGAACCUUGUUCAGGUAUGCAGGCGUGAAAGAAGAGUUUGAAUUCGUUUCUUAUUUACCUAUUGUUCGUAGGGAUCUACUUGUCACCAGUGCCGCCAGAAAACUAUUGAUACCAAAACAAACUGCAGAAACCCGGACUGCUGGGGUGUUCGAGGCCAGUUUUGCGGUCCCUGCCUUCGAAAUCGAUACGGUGAAGAGGUCAAGGAUGCACUGCUGGAUCCGAACUGGCGGUGCCCGCCUUGUCGAGGAAUCUGCAACUGCAGUUUCUGCCGACAGCGAGACGGACGGUGCGCGACUGGGGUCCUUGUGUAUUUAGCCAAGUAUCAUGGCUUUGGGAAUGUGCAUGCUUACUUGAAAAGUCUGAAGCAAGAAUUUGAAAUGCAAGCGUAAUGUCUGGAAGAUUCACUGCCUGGCUUCCACUUCUCAAAUUUCCCUGAUAAAGUUUUCGGUUUGUCAUUGAUUGAAACCUGAGUUAAGAAUCAGAGUGAUCAAUCUGUUCUGUGGGAAAUGCAGGUCAAGUUCAUCUUUUCAGUCACGUGUGUGUUUCUGGAGCAUCGAGGAAGGUGCACUGCUAGUUAUGCUUUUCUUUCCCUGCAGUUUCUCCUCUGCUUCCUGCCCCCAGCCCCUCUGUUUCCAGCGGUCCUCUCCCACCAUUUCUUUUCUGAAUUCUUUUUAAAUGACAAUUUUACAAAAGCCUAUUUGAUUUAGUUGAUGUUUGAAUAGCCUUAGAAGCUACCCAUAAAACCCAAGCACUUAGAAACACAGUAGUAAUAUUAACUGUUAACUAACUAGAGCUGCUACACUCCAGAACAGCGGUCUCACUUGUCGACACAGAAAUGAUGGGUAUCAUUUAGCGUUCUUACUAGUUGAUAUUUUGAACCAGGAGCAAGGCACACAUGUUAAAAGCCAUGUGAAAAAAAUUAGGUAACUGUUGCAGAGUAUGUUUGGAUGCCUCUCCUGAGGGUAUUCCAUGUUUUGUACUUAACUGUGUGCCUGUUGUCACAGCUGAGACAUAGUUGCUGCUGCUGUGAAUUUCUUCUGCCAUGAGGCCAAGUGGUAUAUCUGGCUUAUAUUGUCACGACCCAAAGCUUUGCAGGCAAUGCUAUACUUAAAAUUAUUGUAGAAAAGACAUCUUGAAAAUUACGACGGUGAAACUUGACAAGUGGGCUGAUUUGAUUUCUGGGUUAAAACUUGGCUAUAAUUGUAGUUUGCCAAGUUUAUUACAGAUAAAUUUUUGGCCCCUGUUACUCAGAAACGUGAUACUAAUAACUUGUCUGUGUUUCUUUACAGUUUCUCAAAGAACUCACAAGUUUGUCACAGGUUCAUGUUUAGGUUUUAAGCACUUUUGUAGCAAUGAGACAUGCCCUGUUGGAGAUGAGUAACAUUUAUAGUUUGUUAGCCUAACGUCUCUGCCAACCUAGCUUCCGCCAUGUCCCUCCUUCCCCUUGCAUUCAUUGAGUCCUUUGGUAGUGCUGGACUCUUAAGUGUGUGUGUGUCCAAUUUAUUUGCUGUGUAAGCCAUUGCUAUUGCCAUUCAUUGUUUGAUGAAUCAUUGGAACUUGAAU
Molecule: long non-coding RNA, 1573 nt
Organism: Tupaia belangeri chinensis (Chinese tree shrew)
Lineage: Eukaryota; Metazoa; Chordata; Mammalia; Scandentia; Tupaiidae
Exons: 3
Source: RefSeq, a predicted model, not a curated record